Molecule: ribosomal RNA, 835 nt
Filed under: uncultured bacterium
Lineage: Bacteria
Description: bacterial SSU rRNA
Rfam family: Bacterial small subunit ribosomal RNA
Source: RNAcentral
AGCGGCGGACGGGUGAGUAACACGUGGGUAACCUGCCCUGGAGUGGGGGAUAACCCGGCGAAAGCCGGGCUAAUACCGCAUACGACCCCCGGUGAGAAACCGGGUGGUGAAAGCUCCGGCGCUUUGGGAGGGGCCCGCGGCCGAUUAGCUAGUUGGUGAGGUAACGGCCCACCAAGGCGACGAUCGGUAGCUGGUCUGAGAGGAUGGUCAGCCACACGGGGACUGAGAACGGCCCCGACUCCUACGGGAGGCAGCAGCUAAGAAUCUUGCGCAAUGGGCGAAAGCCUGACGCAGCAACGCCGCGUGCGGGAUGAAGGCCUUCGGGUUGUAAACCGCUUUUGCGAGGGAAGAAGUACUGACGGUACCUCGCGAAUAGGCCACGGCUAACUACGUGCCAGCAGCCGCGGUAAUACGUAGGUGGCAAGCGUUGUCCGGAUUUAUUGGGCGUAAAGCGCCCGCAGGCGGCCCGGCAAGUUUCAGGUGAAAUCUCCCGGCUCAACCGGGAGGGGUCCUGGAAAACUGCCAGGCUUGAGGCAGGGAGGGGAAUGCGGAAUUUCCGGUGUAGCGGUGAAAUGCGUAGAUAUCGGAAGGAACACCAGCGGCGAAGGCGGCAUUCUGGCCCUGUCCUGACGCUCAGGGGCGAAAGCGUGGGGAGCGAACCGGAUUAGAUACCCGGGUAGUCCACGCCGUAAACGAUGAGUACUAGGCGUUGGGGGUAUCGACCCCCUCAGUGCCGAAGCUAACGCGAUUAGUACUCCGCCUGAGGACUACGGCCGCAAGGCUAAAACUCAAAGGAAUUGACGGGGGCCCGCACAAGCAGCGGAGCGUGUGGUUU